RNAcentral lists this long non-coding RNA (2349 nucleotides) under Zea mays. RNAcentral's name for it is "long non-coding RNA (ZMAY_LNC002069)". The record is from RNAcentral. Lineage: Eukaryota; Viridiplantae; Streptophyta; Magnoliopsida; Poales; Poaceae.
GUUCCUUCCUUUUCGUUCUCCAGCGACCCUAAUCACCGCCGCCGGGACUCGUUGUCGACGCGCCGCGGCCGUGACCUCGAAUUCGUCCACCCUGGGCGUGGAGCCUCGUCGUGGAGCUUCCCUUGGGCUUUCCGAAGGGGUUUGGGGCAUCUCCGUACGGGAUUGGCGUCUGGGGCGACGGGGAUUUCUCGCCGUCGUCAACCUCUCCGCCGCUACAUCACUGUCGCCGCGAGCGGAGAACUCCGAGCCAUUCUAGUCGGUACCACCCUCUCCCUGCAACUCGUUUCUUUCCCCGCAUCAUGUAGAGGUAGUUAGAUUGGGAUUUGGUGCAUCGGGGAGGGGAUUCGCGUUACGACGGUGGUGCUCCGCCGCGCUCUGUGUGCUGUGCUGUGUUGUGCUGUCGCGGGAUAGCUCGAGGGGGAGAAGAUGAGCGCUUGCCGUCCGAUCUGUCUGCGACGGCCAUGAUCACGUCCAGCAUGAGAUGCGACCGGGACUGAAUCGGGUCCCUUCGAUCACAAUCGGACGAACCAGAUCGGUCGAGAAGUAUUUAAAUCCGAACCGUAGAUCUCGGAAUUGACGGCUGGCGUUGUGUACCGAUUCAAUCUAAUCUCGCGCGUCUGAUUUGGAACCAACGGCUCAAAAUGCACGAUACCCCUUCGGCCCUGGAACCUUGCAUAAGAGCCCCUGGAAUAUUAUAGAAUCAACCCGCAGUCCAUGUGUUACUAUUCACUGAGUCUAGGAUUUUAUUCGCGCAGACCCCUGACCUUCUCAGUAAAUGACGCCCAGUCCAGAGCACAUUUAAAAUGUAUAAAUGAAUUAGUAAAGGUAUUAUUAAUACAAAAAUAAUUCCUAGAACUUAGUUAAUUCAUAGAAAAUUCAUUUUAGCUCCAAAUUGAGUCAUUCCAAUUCCUAAAAUUUGGUAAUAAUAUUCUCUAUCAUUUAGAAUCACUGUUUCGACAUGAACUCUGUUAGAAAAUUAAUUUAUCAUCUAAUCCUAUUAUAAUCACCUUAAAUCUUAGGAAAUUCAUAACUUAAAUUCUAUAACUCAAAAUUUAGUGAUUCCAGUUCCUAUGGUUUCAUUUUAAUGUGUAGAUUUUUACUGUAUAUUUCAUUCAUCUGUUUGGUGUGAUGUUGAUUUUGGCUAUACUAUGUAUGUAUUGUGUUGAUGCGAGUAGACGAGCAACCCACUGUGGAACCUGAGCUUCAACAAGUAGAAGUAGCUGAGCAGGAGCUCAUUGAAGGCAAGUUGUGCCCUUGAUCACUUACUUUCCCAGCCAUGUUCUUAUUAAUUUUAAUGAUCUGCAUAGGAUAAUUUUGAUGGGAGCCUUUAUGUUACCCCAGUUUUGAUUACCUCUAUACCUUGUUCACCCCUGAAAUAUUUUUGGGUAGUACUUGCUAUUGCUUUAUGUGGAUUGGGUAUGGAGAUACACUAUUCAUGAUUAUGCUGUUAUUAACUUGUUAUUAUUAUUGUUCAUGUUAAGAUCAUUAAAUUAAUGGGAACAUGGAGAACCACCCGGGAAAACAGUGCUACCACAAGGGUUUAAUGGGACGCCCUUGGCUGACUAAUUAGGAAAGCUAGUGGAAGACUACCUUACCCGAAAGGGGCAAGGGCAGUAGGGGAGAGGUCAGUGCGGGGAGGUCCCUGGUUGAUUUUGCUGCGAUGGCUGUCAGCCAGGAACCCUGUACUGGAUCUUCCUAUAAACUGUAGCGGGUUUUCGGAAGCUAGUGGAACUUUGUAAAGGCCUCGUAGUGGAUCCCUAGCCAUUCACCUCGGUAGUGUCUAAGGGCCUUGCAAACCCAGGCGACAUGGGAUACACGACUUGUGGGUAAAGAUGCGCAACCUCUGCAGAGUGUAAAACUAGUAUACUAGCCGUGCUCACGGUCAAGAGCGGCUCGGACACUCACAUGAUUAAUAUAUGGAACUUAAACUUAAUCUGUCAUUUCAUUGCAUUUGGGAUUAUUUUACUAUUACUGUUCUUUAUUAUUAAGGUUUGGUAUUUACUUACACUUAGUAAUUGCUAAUAAAAUUUUGACCAACUUAUAAAAGCAAUGCUCAGCCUCAACCUCUAUUUCAUUGAUCAGCCUUACACUACAUGAACUCCCACCUUUGGUGAGUUCAUGCCACAUUAUUCCCCACGACUUGUUGAGCUAUGAACGUAUGUGAGCUCACUCUUGCUGUCUCACACCCCCCCACAGGAGAAGAACAGGUGGUUCAGGAGGAGCCACAAGGCGAGGAGUAUGAUCCGAUCUAGGUGGCGUUUCUCAGUCGACAUUGGCGCCGACGAUCCUUAGUUCAUUUUAUACUUAUUGUUUUCUUUUGUAAUAAGUCUUCCGCUAUGUAAUAAAUAC